UACGGAGGAUGCAAGCGUUAUCCGGAAUUAUUGGGCGUAAAGCGUCCGUAGAUGGUUUUGCCAGUCGGCUGUCAAAGCACAGGGCUUAACCCUGUAAAGGCAGUGGAAACUACAAGACUAGAGUGCAGUAGGGGCAGAGGGAAUUCCCAGUGUAGCGGUGAAAUGCGUAGAGAUUGGGAAGAACAUCCGUGGCGAAAGCGCUCUGCUGGACUGCAACUGACAUUGAGGGACGAAAGCGUGGGGAGCGAACAGG
This 253-nucleotide ribosomal RNA is filed under the name uncultured bacterium. RNAcentral describes it as "partial 16S ribosomal RNA". It matches the Rfam family "Bacterial small subunit ribosomal RNA", at positions 524 to 776 of the family's 1533-position model. The record is from RNAcentral.